This 281-nucleotide long non-coding RNA is filed under the name Brassica rapa (field mustard). Its description in RNAcentral is "long non-coding RNA (BRAP_LNC005178)". Lineage: Eukaryota; Viridiplantae; Streptophyta; Magnoliopsida; Brassicales; Brassicaceae. The record is from RNAcentral.
GCAUUGCAGCAACCUCUUUCUCCAUUGCAGCUAAUUCUCUUCUCAUCUUCUUCGCUUCAACCUCCAUUGCCUUUGUUAAUGUUUCCACCUUCCUCGCUAGCAUCUAUACAAACAUCAAUGUUAUCAUACAUCAUUACAUUUAAAAGAAAUAAAUGUGGAAACUCUACCUCAAUGGCAUCAUCCUUGUCUUUGAGGCUUUGAUCUUUUUCAUGAGAGGCUUUCCUCAAAGAAACUACUUCUUUCUGCAGCAAAUCAUACAAAACACCUGGGACACUAUCCUC